Molecule: ribosomal RNA, 253 nt
Filed under: uncultured bacterium
Lineage: Bacteria
Description: partial 16S ribosomal RNA
Rfam family: Bacterial small subunit ribosomal RNA
Source: RNAcentral
UACGGAGGGUGCAAACGUUGCUCGGAAUCAUUGGGCGUAAAGCGCACGUAGGCGGACUGUUAAGUCGGAUGUGAAAUCCCUCAGCUUAACUGAGGAAGUGCACUCGAAACUGGCAGUCUUGAAUAUGGAAGAGGGUCGCGGAAUUCCCGGUGUAGAGGUGAAAUUCGUAGAUAUUGGGAAGAACACCAGUGGCGAAGGCGGCUAACUGGUCCAGAUCUGACGCUGAGGUGCGAAAGCGUGGGGAGCAAACAGG